RNAcentral lists this transfer RNA (32 nucleotides) under Anolis chlorocyanus (Northern Hispaniolan green anole). Its description in RNAcentral is "partial tRNA-Met". Lineage: Eukaryota; Metazoa; Chordata; Lepidosauria; Squamata; Anolidae. The record is from RNAcentral.
CCAAAAAUGUUGGUCUAAACCUUCCUAUACUA